CGCCUGUUUAUCAAAAACAUAGCCUAUAGAAUUCUUUAUUAUAGGUAUUUAUCCUGCCCAGUGAAAUUUUUAACGGCCGCGGUAUCCUGACCGUGCAAAGGUAGCAUAAUCAUUUGCCUUCUAAUUAAAGGCUAGUAUGAACGGAAAAAUGAGGACUUCCCUGUCUCUUUUAUAGCCUUAUAAACUAACCUUCAGGUGAAGAGGCCUGAAUAUUAUUAAAAGACAAGAAGACCCUGUCGAGCUUAACUUUAUUAUUUUAGAACUACAUUUUUACUUUAUUUAUAAGUUUUGUUGGGGCGACAAAGGAGAAAAUAAAACCUCCUUGACUACUAAAGACCUUUAGUCAUUCUUUAGAUCCAUUAUAUGAUCUUCUAUUUUAGCUACCGCAGGGAUAACAGACUUAUUUUCCUCAAGAGCCCAUAUCUACAGGAAAGUUUGGCACCUCGAUGUUGGCUUAGGGUAUCUAUUAAGUGUAGCCGCUUAAAAAAGAAGGUUUGUUCAACCUUUAAUCCCCUACGUGAUCUGAGUUCAGACCGG
This 537-nucleotide ribosomal RNA is filed under the name Aponuphis bilineata. Its description in RNAcentral is "partial 16S ribosomal RNA". It matches the Rfam family "Bacterial large subunit ribosomal RNA", at positions 1797 to 2619 of the family's 2925-position model. Lineage: Eukaryota; Metazoa; Annelida; Polychaeta; Eunicida; Onuphidae. The record is from RNAcentral.